This 925-nucleotide ribosomal RNA is filed under the name uncultured bacterium. RNAcentral's name for it is "bacterial SSU rRNA". It matches the Rfam family "Bacterial small subunit ribosomal RNA", at positions 551 to 1490 of the family's 1533-position model. The record is from RNAcentral.
UCAUUGGGUUUAAAGGGUCCGUAGGCGGGCUAUUAAGUCAGGGGUGAAAGUUUGCCGCUCAACGGUAAAAUUGCCUUUGAUACUGAUAGUCUUGAAUUAUUAGGAAGUGGUUAGAAUAUGUAGUGUAGCGGUGAAAUGCAUAGAUAUUACAUAGAAUACCGAUUGCGAAGGCAGAUCACUACUAAUAUAUUGACGCUGAUGGACGAAAGCGUGGGGAGCGAACAGGAUUAGAUACCCUGGUAGUCCACGCCGUAAACGAUGGAUACUAGCUGUUCGGAUUUCGGUCUGAGUGGCUAAGCGAAAGUGAUAAGUAUCCCACCUGGGGAGUACGUUCGCAAGAAUGAAACUCAAAGGAAUUGACGGGGGCCCGCACAAGCGGUGGAGCAUGUGGUUUAAUUCGAUGAUACGCGAGGAACCUUACCAAGGCUUAAAUGUAGAUUGACAGGUUUAGAGACAGACUUUUCUUCGGACAAUUUACAAGGUGCUGCAUGGUUGUCGUCAGCUCGUGCCGUGAGGUGUCAGGUUAAGUCCUAUAACGAGCGCAACCCCUGUGGUUAGUUACCAGCAUGUAAUGAUGGGGACUCUAGCCAGACUGCCGGUGCAAACCGUGAGGAAGGUGGGGAUGACGUCAAAUCAUCACGGCCCUUACGUCUUGGGCCACACACGUGCUACAAUGGUAGGGACAGAGAGCAGCCACUGGGUGACCAGGCGCGAAUCUUCAAACCCUAUCUCAGUUCGGAUCGUAGUCUGCAACUCGACUACGUGAAGCUGGAAUCGCUAGUAAUCGGAUAUCAGCCAUGAUCCGGUGAAUACGUUCCCGGGCCUUGUACACACCGCCCGUCAAGCCAUGGAAGCUGGGGGUACCUGAAGUCGGUGACCGUAAGGAGCUGCCUAGGGUAAAACUAGUAACUGGGGCUAAGUCGUA